Choloepus didactylus (southern two-toed sloth) is the source of this 1039-nucleotide long non-coding RNA. RefSeq lists it as uncharacterized. The record is from RefSeq and is a predicted model, not a curated record. Lineage: Eukaryota; Metazoa; Chordata; Mammalia; Pilosa; Megalonychidae. The transcript has 3 exons.
ACUAAGACACAGAGAAGUAAACUAAUGUGUACAAAGUCAGACAUAAGGGAGAAACACAAUCAGAAACAAAGCAUCAGACUCCAGAGCUGCAUGCUUCUCCACUGCCAUGUCCUGCCUCCUGUAAAGAAUGACUAAUGAUAGAGGUACUGCAUCCUAAAGUGACCUAGGUCUCAAGGACAGCAUAUUUGUCAACAAAAUGAAGAGAUGAGAAUUAUCUAAAUAAACGAAAGGCAAAAUAAAAGGUCCACACCCUCUGCCAAGUUGCCUACGUGUGAAUGAAUGGGAAAUAUAUUUCCAGGCUCGGGUAAUGAAUAACCUCUGAGGGACUGCACUUUUCUCCAUUCCCACGGAUUGUAUCUACCAAGCAGUGCACUUGCUCUGAAAGGAAGAAUUUGCCCCGGUUUGGAAGGAAGUGGAAUAAAUAGAACUGGAAGUCGCAAGGUCACCUUUAAUAUCAUAUGAACUACCUCCUAACAAGCUUCACAAUUGCUUUGUUUCUUCCUCGCCAAGUGCUAUAAACAGGCAAAGUCAAAGCAAACUGUUGGAGUACACACAGUGCUUGGAGGAAGCUCCCAGAGCUGUGAGGAUGAGGCUGCAGGCCUAAUGGGGACCAUCAGGCACACCAGGGUUAUGAUUGUAUUAUGGUGCGGUGGCCAGAAGGGAGUACUGCUUGUUUUUAAAGCAAGGAAUUAUAUUGUCUUAAAUUCCUGUGUAUAAAAUAUAGGGCAAACAAGUUACAGUUGGAAGUUGGAAUAUUUAGUUGCAGUAGGUACAGUAUAUGGAAUAUUUGCUUUUCACUUGGUUUUUCCUUAAUAAUUUUAAAUAUUGUAUUAUCAUAUGAUCACAUAAAUACAGAAAUGCUGUUUUCAAAGCCUUUCACCCUAGGACCCUGUUCAGUUGGUAUUUAAAACACAAUGCCAUGGAACUUUGAAUAGGAAGUGAGAUACGAUAGGUUAGUAUAGGCUGGAGUGAAAUAGUGACACAACCCAGAGUAAUUUGGGCAGAUAAUAAAAAAUAUAUUUACAGCCUCCCCCUCCCC